AGCAGUGGGGAAUAUUGGACAAUGGGCGCAAGCCUGAUCCAGCCAUGCCGCGUGAGUGAUGAAGGCCCUAGGGUUGUAAAGCUCUUUUGUGCGGGAAGAUAAUGACGGUACCGCAAGAAUAAGCCCCGGCUAACUUCGUGCCAGCAGCCGCGGUAAUACGAAGGGGGCUAGCGUUGCUCGGAAUCACUGGGCGUAAAGCGUACGUAGGCGGGUCUUUAAGUCAGGGGUGAAAUCCUGGAGCUCAACUCCAGAACUGCCUUUGAUACUGAGGAUCUUGAGUCCGGGAGAGGUGAGUGGAACUGCGAGUGUAGAGGUGAAAUUCGUAGAUAUUCGCAAGAACACCAGUGGCGAAGGCGGCUCACUGGCCCGGUACUGACGCUGAGGUGCGAAAGCGUGGGGAGCAAACAGGAUUAGAUACCCCUGUAG
Molecule: ribosomal RNA, 426 nt
Filed under: Stenotrophomonas sp. SAM-B
Lineage: Bacteria; Pseudomonadati; Pseudomonadota; Gammaproteobacteria; Lysobacterales; Lysobacteraceae
Description: bacterial SSU rRNA
Rfam family: Bacterial small subunit ribosomal RNA
Source: RNAcentral